GAAUAAACGUAACAUGUGAUUUUAGAACACAACUCCAGCUACUGAAAACUCAGAAAAAGAAGACCCAGGUGGCGAAAAUGUCACAGAACCAUCAAGUUCCGAUAAUGCUACACAAACUGCUGUUCUAACACUUGAGCCUGAUGCAGUAAGUCAGAAUAUUAAUACGUGAUUAUUUUUAGUUAUAUUCAAA
Pieris rapae (cabbage white) is the source of this 190-nucleotide long non-coding RNA. RefSeq lists it as uncharacterized. The record is from RefSeq and is a predicted model, not a curated record. Lineage: Eukaryota; Metazoa; Arthropoda; Insecta; Lepidoptera; Pieridae. The transcript is spliced from 7 exons.